RNAcentral lists this transfer RNA (72 nucleotides) under Salmo salar (Atlantic salmon). It matches the Rfam family "tRNA". Rfam says of the family: Transfer RNA (tRNA) molecules are approximately 80 nucleotides in length. Their secondary structure includes four short double-helical elements and three loops (D, anti-codon, and T loops). The record is from Rfam by way of RNAcentral. Lineage: Eukaryota; Metazoa; Chordata; Actinopteri; Salmoniformes; Salmonidae.
UCCCGUGUGGCUCAGUUGGUAGAGCACGGUCCCUGCAAUACCAAUGUGGUGGGUUCAAUUCCCACAGGGGAC